UACGUAGGGUGCAAGCGUUAAUCGGAAUUACUGGGCGUAAAGCGUGCGCAGGCGGUUAUACAAGACAGGCGUGAAAUCCCCGGGCUUAACCUGGGAAUGGCGCCUGUGACUGUAUAGCUAGAGUGUGUCAGAGGGGGGUAGAAUUCCACGUGUAGCAGUGAAAUGCGUAGAUAUGUGGAGGAAUACCAAUGGCGAAGGCAGCCCCCUGGGAUAACACUGACGCUCAUGCACGAAAGCGUGGGGAGCAAACAG
RNAcentral lists this ribosomal RNA (252 nucleotides) under uncultured bacterium. RNAcentral describes it as "partial 16S ribosomal RNA". It matches the Rfam family "Bacterial small subunit ribosomal RNA", at positions 524 to 775 of the family's 1533-position model. The record is from RNAcentral.